Molecule: long non-coding RNA, 1159 nt
Filed under: Sus scrofa (pig)
Lineage: Eukaryota; Metazoa; Chordata; Mammalia; Artiodactyla; Suidae
Description: lncRNA (ENSSSCG00055005479.1)
Source: RNAcentral
AAUAAUAUGAUAGCACCUGUUGGUGGAUCACAGGCAAUAGCAGAGCACACAGGUGAUGGAAUUGUCCAGUGGACUCCAAGUUCCAUGGAGAGAGGCUUGGAAACAUGUGCUCCUCUGGGUGCCUGGAAAGACUGCUCACCAGUGACUAUGAAGCAAUAAAUGUGCAGUCUGAACACUGAUUCCUGCGCCAGAUCUUGACUGGCGUGUCUUUCGAAAGGCCAUGAGGUUCUGGAUUCUAGGGUGGUAAAUCAGAGAUGGUACUUGUCUCUCAGUAGAGUCGAUGGACCCAGACCAGAGCAUUCAGUACUUCUCCUGGCUAAAGAAAUGGUAGGUCAGCUUUCAAAAUGAGAAGAAGAUCCAAGAAAAGCUGUGAGGGUGCAGGGUUCCCCAAGGUGUCUCCCUUCCCACACGCCACCCCCUGCCACACACACAUAGGUCUAUUCCUCCAGUCUCCAAAACUCAGAUUCAUCUCAUCUAAGUAGUCUGAGAACAACUACUUCUUCUCCUCCUUCUUCUCUUUCUCCUUCUUCUUCUUUCUCCUUCUCUCCUCCUCCUCCUUCUUUUACUUCCUCUUCUUCCUCCUCCUCCGCUUCUUCUUUUAAUGGCUACUCCUGAGGCAUAUGGAAGUUUCUGGGCCAGGGACUGAAUCCCCAAGCUGCAGCUGAAAUCUAUGCCACAGCUGUGGCAACAUUGGAUCCUUUAACCCACUGCACCAGGCCAGGGAUCAAACCCAACCUCCACAGAGACCCAAACCACUGCAGUCAGAUUUUUUAAUCCACUGUAUCACAGUGGGAACUCCAGCAGUCUGGGAACUUCUAACUUUGAAGGGAAAGCUAAUCCAGACUAUUGCAUCCAUUCUCCCACCCAUGUUCACAUAGCAGGGACGGGGGUCUCAACCCAUGGGGCAGAUUUGGCAAGUCAUUCAUCUGCCAGGGUGACACCUGAUGCUCAUUAGACACUGCCUGGUUUAUGUGGUGAGUUAGCCGAGUUGGUUCAGAAUUCAAAUACUGCUGAUACCACUCCUCUGAUUCUGCUUCUUUGUGUUUCACUUUCUUCCUUCAUGUAAUAUGAUUACAAAUCCUAAUCUCAUGAGACUCUCUAAUGUAUUAAAUGAAAUAAUCCUUGUAAAAUGUUUAACAUAGAAAGAGCUUAGUGAAUG